RNAcentral lists this ribosomal RNA (201 nucleotides) under uncultured bacterium. RNAcentral describes it as "partial 16S ribosomal RNA". It matches the Rfam family "Bacterial small subunit ribosomal RNA", at positions 328 to 539 of the family's 1533-position model. The record is from RNAcentral.
ACGCUCGACACCUACGAGAGGCAGCAGUUAGGAAUAUUGGGCAAUGGAGGAAACUCUGACCCAGCAACGCCGCGUGAAGGAAGAAGGUUUUCGGGUUGUAAACUUCUGAUCUAGGGGAAGAAGGAAGUGACGGUACCCUAGGAGAAAGCCACGGCUAACUACGUACCAGCAGCCGCGGUAAUCUGAGCGGGCUGGCAAGGC